CAAUUUUAAUGUUUUAUUUGUAUCAGCUUUGGCUGAACCUAUAAAAUAACUGUUAAAAUCUGAUCAUAAAAAAAAAAUCACAGAUUUGGUAAACAGCAGGAACUUAUUUGAGUCAGUAAAGGCAAGUCUGGAAGCCUGAGGGAGGGGUGCCAGAAGUGGCUGGAAAGGCACCAGACAAAGCACAGGAACAAUGGGACACGCAGGAGAACGGGAUGUCCCCUUCAGGGCUGCUCUCUGACCGUUCCAGUGGUGCAAUCAGACAAGCAACAGCACUGGCAGUGGGGAAGGGAAAAGUGUACGAGCCCGUCUAACUCCAGGCUGCAGCUGCUGUGUGAGAAGGAAUCCAGUUACGCAAACCUCAACAGAAGCCAUGCCUUGUUGCUGUGGGAUAAUGCUCUUGGUCAUUCCUCAUCCCUUUUUCCUAUGGGAUACUUGAAAACACAGGGGUCAAACUGAACCAAGUGGAAAAGCCAGCAAUCCCUCCAUUUUAAGGAACAUACCCUACUUAAAAGCAUGUCUCCGUCUGGAGUGAAGACGGACUGGAUGACUUUGGUGUGCUCGAGGGCAGGACUGCCACCCAGAGGGACUCAGUCAGAGAAGCUGUCCUGAAAGACGAGCAUGGAGGAGGCAGAGGACCUCUGCAGCCAGGAUGUGCUGCUGCAGUGUGCAAUUGCACAAACCAAGCUGUUGUGUAUUCAGAGUCGCAUCUGCCUGUCCAAAUGACCAAAAUGAAGUAUUUGCUGCUUUCUACUUUAUUUAAGCCUACAGGAGCCAGUAAAGCUCAUCCUCCUCAUGCACCAAGGUAUCCACAUGUGCCACUCGCCAACCUGGAACUUCUUCACCAAGCAAUGUCUGAGCAAAUCUCCUAAAAACAGAGCAACUGCUCGCAGAUUAUUGUAAUAAUAAUUUGGCUGACAUAGCCUUUAUUACUAACGGUGAUGCUGGAGAUGGAAAACCCAGCUCGAUUCUCAGAUCCCUGCUGGAAAGUAAUAA
Molecule: long non-coding RNA, 993 nt
Filed under: Anser brachyrhynchus (Pink-footed goose)
Lineage: Eukaryota; Metazoa; Chordata; Aves; Anseriformes; Anatidae
Description: lncRNA (ENSABRG00000005469.1)
Source: RNAcentral